UAGGGAAUCUUCCGCAAUGGGCGAAAGCCUGACGGAGCAACGCCGCGUGAGUGAUGAAGGUCUUCGGAUCGUAAAACUCUGUUAUUAGGGAAGUACAAAUGUGUAAGUAACUAUGCACGUCUUGACGGUUCCUAAUCAGAAAGCCACGGCUAACUACGUGCCAGCAGCCGCGGUAAUACGUAGGUGGCAAGCGUUAUCCGGAAUUAUUGGGCGUAAAGCGCGCGUAGGCGGUUUUUUUAGUCUGAUGUGAAAGCCCACGGCUCAACCGUGGAGGGUCAGUGGAAACUGGAAAACUUGAGUGCAGAAGAGGAAAGUGGAAUUCCAUGUGUAGCGGUGAAAUGCGCAGAGAUAUGGAGGAACACCAGUGGCGAAGGCGACUUGCUGGUCUGUAACUGACGCUGAUGUGCGAAAGCGUGGGGAUCAAACAGG
RNAcentral lists this ribosomal RNA (429 nucleotides) under Actinomycetes bacterium. RNAcentral's name for it is "Actinobacteria bacterium partial 16S ribosomal RNA". It matches the Rfam family "Bacterial small subunit ribosomal RNA", at positions 355 to 776 of the family's 1533-position model. Lineage: Bacteria; Bacillati; Actinomycetota; Actinomycetes. The record is from RNAcentral.